GGAGGCGUGGCCGAGUGGUCGAAGGCGCUCCCCUGCUAAGGGAGUAGGCGGGAAACCGUCUCGAGGGUUCGAAUCCCUUCGUCUCCGCCA
RNAcentral lists this transfer RNA (90 nucleotides) under Jannaschia sp. AI_61. RNAcentral's name for it is "tRNA-Ser". It matches the Rfam family "tRNA". From Rfam's summary of the family: Transfer RNA (tRNA) molecules are approximately 80 nucleotides in length. Their secondary structure includes four short double-helical elements and three loops (D, anti-codon, and T loops). Further hydrogen bonds mediate the characteristic L-shaped molecular structure. tRNAs have two regions of fundamental functional importance: the anti-codon, which is responsible for specific mRNA codon recognition, and the 3' end, to which the tRNAs corresponding amino acid is attached (by aminoacyl-tRNA synthetases). tRNAs cope with the degeneracy of the genetic code in two manners: having more than one tRNA (with a specific anti-codon) for a particular amino acid; and 'wobble' base-pairing, i.e. permitting non-standard base-pairing at the 3rd anti-codon position. Lineage: Bacteria; Pseudomonadati; Pseudomonadota; Alphaproteobacteria; Rhodobacterales; Roseobacteraceae. RNAcentral also lists the same sequence under 1 other name. The record is from RNAcentral.